GAUGAACGCUGGCGGCGUGCCUAAUACAUGCAAGUCGAGUGAACGGACGAGAAGCUUGCUUCUCUGAUGUUAGCGGCGGACGGGUGAGUAACACGUGGAUAACCUACCUAUAAGACUGGGAUAACUUCGGGAAACCGGAGCUAAUACCGGAUAAUAUUUUGAACCGCAUGGUUCAAAAGUGAAAGACGGUCUUGCUGUCACUUAUAGAUGGAUCCGCGCUGCAUUAGCUAGUUGGUAAGGUAACGGCUUACCAAGGCAACGAUGCAUAGCCGACCUGAGAGGGUGAUCGGCCACACUGGAACUGAGACACGGUCCAGACUCCUACGGGAGGCAGCAGUAGGGAAUCUUCCGCAAUGGGCGAAAGCCUGACGGAGCAACGCCGCGUGAGUGAUGAAGGUCUUCGGAUCGUAAAACUCUGUUAUUAGGGAAGAACAUAUGUGUAAGUAACUGUGCACAUCUUGACGGUACCUAAUCAGAAAGCCACGGCUAACUACGU
Molecule: ribosomal RNA, 496 nt
Filed under: uncultured bacterium
Lineage: Bacteria
Description: partial 16S ribosomal RNA
Rfam family: Bacterial small subunit ribosomal RNA
Source: RNAcentral